GUUGGAGGCUAGUAGCCUAGUCAAUCUACGGUUUAGAUCGGACUAAUUGAAACACAAAGUUGUUCAACGUUUUUGUAUUUAUUAAGUCUCCUUUUAUAACAUACUAAAAGUCUGAAAAAAUCGGAGCACGCAAACACCCCGAAAAACCGCAACGAAUUUCCCCGUGUAUGAAAAAACACAGGGAUCCCAAAUAAUAAAAAUCACGAAAAAUAUACAUACAUUAAAAAAAUCAAAUUUAUGCCACUAUAAAUGAUAACAAUAUAUAUUUCUACUCGAUCUGGAUAAGAAACAACGUUAUGUGAUAUAGCUUAUCUAUUUUUGGCAAAAUCCACAGGUUUCUACUAGCUAUCUUUACGGGUAUUUAGAAAGAGAAUCAACCACAACAUGUUAUUAUUAUCAUUAAUUUGAGUUUGUUUGAUUUAAAUGGCGUCAAUCUCAAGUUUAUUGUUAUCUUUCCGCAACCCUGCUUUCAAUUAUAAUUAUUAAGUGUGGUUUUAAAUGCAGGACCACAGUGAUAUCAGAUGGAGUUAAAGGGGCUUAUCCUGUAAAAACAUUGGUAAAAAUAUUAAUUUUGUCACCAUUACGAUGCUUGUAGACAUUCAACCCUUUUAGACACUUCUGAAAGUUCUGUGGAAAGAUUGCCUUUUUUUCAAGACUCUACACUGUUUACGCCGACAGCGCAGUUAAUGUUGAUACCGCUAAAGUGACCGAGAAGGGAUCUUGAAAGCAGAUAACACAACCUCGCAAUCGACUGUUCCCAUUGACAAUGACGUCGUACAUGUUACAGCUGUCGUUUUAGCGCUCAAUUCUAGCUCAUCCCCAGAAGAAAUUGAACAACAUUUCUCCUUUGAGUCUGAAGUUUUCCUCGAGUAUUGCGAAACUCUUAUGAUGCAGAAGCCUGUUUUGGCCGAGGUCAUUUGGUCCACAUUGGAUUGAUACCAAAACACCAUCUACCGUGCUACAGUAUGUAUUGGAUGGAGAUUCUCUUCUAUACUGAAUACCCUAGCCCAAGGAAGUCGACACAUUAUUUUACGAAGGUUAAACCCCUGCUGUAAUUAUUUCAUGGUGUUUUGAUUGGUAACGCCGAUGGCUUCUUCACAGAGGUCAUGAAAAAAAGGAAAGGGGGCAUCAUUCAAGAAGCUUGUGUCCUCACCCUACAUCUGCGCACAGGCAGCUGUUAACAGAACAGAGCUAAGAGAACCACAAAAUCCUCAACUUCAGCAGCAGCAGCCAUGUUCCACAGUUCCAAGUUCCAGUAUUCUAAAAAGUCAACCAAUGGAAAGGCGAAAGAAAGGCGGUCUGAGAUCUGAGCCUAGAUGUUGGUCAACGACAGGGUGAACCCUUAACAGAUCUUGAGAGACCUCCAGGACUGCAGCACGUUUAGUGCUCCUGCCGCAUGGACAAUCUAGCGUGUUCGCCCUACGGCCAAUACAAAGGGUCAUCGUGUAAUAAUUCCCUUUCAAUUGAAGUCACGGAUUCCAUGGAUUUAAUCUGCACCCACGAGUAAGAACCUAGAGUUUAAGAACCUGUAACAGGGUCUUAAUCUUAAAGAAAUUAUAAAAAAUUUCAACAUUAAAGAAUCUAUUUUCACGAAAAAAUGA
Molecule: long non-coding RNA, 1601 nt
Organism: Nematostella vectensis (starlet sea anemone)
Lineage: Eukaryota; Metazoa; Cnidaria; Anthozoa; Actiniaria; Edwardsiidae
Exons: 2
Source: RefSeq, a predicted model, not a curated record